This 445-nucleotide ribosomal RNA is filed under the name uncultured bacterium. Its description in RNAcentral is "bacterial SSU rRNA". It matches the Rfam family "Bacterial small subunit ribosomal RNA", at positions 354 to 796 of the family's 1533-position model. The record is from RNAcentral.
GUGAGGAAUAUUGCGCAAUGGAGGCAACUCUGACGCAGCCAUGCCGCGUGCAGGAAGAAGGCGCUACGCGUUGUAAACUGCUUUUAACCGGGAAGAAACCCCAGGACGUGUCCUGGGUUGACGGUACCGGAGGAAUAAGCACCGGCUAACUUCGUGCCAGCAGCCGCGGUAAUACGAAGGGUGCAAGCGUUAUCCGGAUUCAUUAGGUUUAAAGGGUUCGUAGGCGGAGCGUUAAGUCAGUGGUGAAAUCCUGCAGCUUAACUGUAGACCUGCCAUUGAUACUGGCGCUCUUGAGUGCGCUUGAAGUGGGCGGAAUGUGCCGUGUAGCGGUGAAAUGCUUAGAUAUGGCACAGAACACCAAUUGCGAAGGCAGCUCACUAAGGCGAUACUGACGCUGAGGCACGAAAGCGUGGGGAUCGAACAGGAUUAGAAACCCCUGUAGUCC